GAUGUACGCUGGCGGCGUGCCUAAUACAUGCAAGUCGAGCGAACAGACGAGGAGCUUGCUCCUCUGACGUUAGCGGCGGACGGGUGAGUAACACGUGGAUAACCUACCUAUAAGACUGGGAUAACUUCGGGAAACCGGAGCUAAUACCGGAUAAUAUAUUGAACCGCAUGGUUCAAUAGUGAAAGACGGUUUUGCUGUCACUUAUAGAUGGAUCCGCGCCGCAUUAGCUAGUUGGUAAGGUAACGGCUUACCAAGGCAACGAUGCGUAGCCGACCUGAGAGGGUGAUCGGCCACACUGGAACUGAGACACGGUCCAGACUCCUACGGGAGGCAGCAGUAGGGAAUCUUCCGCAAAGGGCGAAAGCCUGACGGAGCAACGCCGCGUGAGUGAUGAAGGUCUUCGGAUCGUAAAACUCUGUUAUUAGGGAAGAACAAAUGUGUAAGUAACUAUGCACGUCUUGACGGUACCUAAUCAGAAAGCCACGGCUAACUACGUG
Molecule: ribosomal RNA, 497 nt
Filed under: uncultured bacterium
Lineage: Bacteria
Description: partial 16S ribosomal RNA
Rfam family: Bacterial small subunit ribosomal RNA
Source: RNAcentral